GAUGAAGAACGCAGCGAAAUGCGAUAAGUAAUGUGAAUUGCAGAAUUCAGUGAAUCAUCGAAUCUUUGAACGCACAUUGCGCCCCUUGGUAUUCCGAGGGGCAUGCCUGUUCGAGCGUCAUUUGUACCCUCAAGCUUUGCUUGGUGUUGGGCGUCUUGUCUCUAGCUUUGCUGGAGACUCGCCUUAAAGUAAUUGGCAGCCGGCCUACUGGUUUCGGAGCGCAGCACAAGUCGCACUCUCUAUCAGCAAAGGUCUAGCAUCCAUUAAGCCUUUUUUUCAACUUUUGACCUCGGAUCAGGUAGGGAUACCCGCUGAACUUAAGCAUAUCAAUAAGCGGAGGA
RNAcentral lists this unclassified non-coding RNA (341 nucleotides) under soil metagenome. Its description in RNAcentral is "partial contains 5.8S ribosomal RNA, internal transcribed spacer 2, and large subunit ribosomal RNA". The stretch from base 1 to 120 matches the Rfam family "5.8S ribosomal RNA", at positions 35 to 154 of the family's 154-position model. The record is from RNAcentral.